AAAGAUGUCGGUGUCACACAUUACUUGAUACACAUGACGUUGUUGCUGCUGCUCAGAUCAUUGAUCAAUGGCCUCAUUUCUAACCGUAGCACAUACACAAAACACGGCCUGAAAGAAGGUGCGUGACACUAUCCGCCACAAAUAAAUGAAUGUGUGGGAAACGCUGAUGGGAACUUUAUCUAAUAAUAGUUUAUUUGUUUGUUAUUUUGAGUUAAAUGUGUUAAAUUUGACUCUGGAAAUAAAAGGGCAUUUUGAGAUUUUGAAGUUAGUUUAAAGUAAUAAUUUUACACCAGAAGCGUUGAAAAAGUAGCGAGUAGUAACCGAUACCCAACCCUAGUAAUGAUGGAGCUCACCUGAUGUUUGUCUUGUUUUCACCUGCCCUAGUGAUGCGUUUCCAUCUGCUGACGCACACACGACUGAAUGUGGUGACGUUCCUCAACGAGCUGCCAAAAAGCCAGCAUGACAUCAUCUCUUUCACCGUGGACGUAAACGCCUACACGUCAUGGAUUUAAGGAAAGGUGUUAGGAGAGCAGUUAGGAAAAGGUGAUCACGUUUGUUUUGACGAUCAGAUGCACUUCCACUAGGUGAUGUAAUGAUCCUACGGCCACGCCUCCUUUCCUCAGAAAACGCUCUUUUAUCACAACCACCACUUAAACACUUCCAGGUGUUAAAGGACAGUGGAUAGGAAAGGAGAUAGGAGGGACUAUAGGGACACAGCCUUGGUGUGACCUAUAUUACUGUAAUAUUAACACCAUAGAAAGUCUCUAACCUUUGAACCCUGUGGUCCUCGUUCAUACUUGAACAGUUUGUGCAUCAUCAACGACCAGCUCUUCAUCAGAAUGGCUACAACGGAGCAGAUCAGCAGAGCUUUUGUGCCCCGCCCCCUUCCUCCAGCCCAGUGCCCACCCUCACUGCCCCACAGCAGGAGAUGCUCAGCACCUUCUCCCUGAAGUCAGACAUGAACCUGGAAUGAUCCCUGAAGUGUUUGCAGGACAACAAGUGGGACUUGAACAAAGCAGCACAUAUCUUCACUCAGUUAAAGACGGCGGGAAAGAUCCCAGACGUGUCGUUCCUAAAGUAAAACGUCUUUGUAUUUUUGUAUUAAAUAAAGUCAAAGUGAACUCUUGUGAAGCGUUUGAUCAGAUAUUUGACCUGAAUACUUAUUUAAUUUUUUUUUAUUAAUCCGUUUUCCGAAUUCAUUUUUUAAAACCAUUUUCCGAAUUCAUUUUCCGAAUAUUUUCCACUAAAAUCAGAGUUAAUAACUUUUAAAAUAUAAUUUCUUUUCAAAGGAAGAAGAAAAACAUUAUGGUUCAAUGUCUGCUUAAAUAAUUUAUUUCUCUUUUUUAAUAAACAUUUUUUUUCAAAUAAAGUAAAAGCA
This 1378-nucleotide long non-coding RNA is filed under the name Gouania willdenowi (blunt-snouted clingfish). RNAcentral describes it as "lncRNA (ENSGWIG00000002754.1)". The record is from RNAcentral. Lineage: Eukaryota; Metazoa; Chordata; Actinopteri; Blenniiformes; Gobiesocidae.